AUGCUGCUAGUUUGGGAAGCUCGUUGCCUUUUUGUCUUCAUCAUAAUUAGGAACCACCUUACAGUCAGAGAAGACGGCAUUCUAGAAAAUGACAGAAAUGGCACCGAACCAAACGCCGCUGUGACACGCACAUCCAGCUACGCCCUGUGCCUAUGCAAAGCAGCCGAAGCCCCAGGGGUGCCACUGUGCCAUUGGGCGGCCAGGCUGCUGUGGUUUGGGAGGAUCCGGUCUUGCAGGAACAAGUCCUUUCCCCGGGUGGGAAGUCAGGCCAAGGUAAGAAAGGAGAGAAGACUCACGGAAGCAUCACAGACGGGCAGCCAGCUGGUCCCCACAACCCUUCUAGAAACACCGUGCUGGUCAACGUCCUACAGGUCUCGGCCGAGCCUGCUCAGUGGAAGAGCGUCCCCAGGACCACAUGAGCACGCUUCCCAUCAUCGCGGAUUUCCCCCAAGUCCAGCUUAUAAAACACUCAAAGAUCCGACGAAACUUGACCCUGUUCUUAGAACCAGCCCCCCAACCCCCCAGGCCAGCCCCAGGCCCACGCCCCUGCGCCCUCCAUGGCUCAGCCAGGUACAGGGCACAACAGUGUCCAUCCCUGAUCCGCUAGCAGGUCGCCUGCUCCAUUAGCAAAAAACAGUUUCAAAAAGCUUUUGGGGGGAUCCCUGGGUGGCUCAGCGGUUGGACGCCUGCCUUCAGCCCAGGGGCGAUCCUGGAGUCCCGGGAUCAAGUCCCACAUGGGGCUCCCGGCCUGGAGCCUGCUUCUCCCUCCUCCUGUGUCUCUGCCUCUCUCUCUGUGUGUGUCUAUCAUAAAUAAAUAAAUAAAUAAAUAAAUAAAUAAAUAAAUA
Molecule: long non-coding RNA, 845 nt
Filed under: Vulpes vulpes (red fox)
Lineage: Eukaryota; Metazoa; Chordata; Mammalia; Carnivora; Canidae
Description: lncRNA (ENSVVUG00000025376.1)
Source: RNAcentral